Molecule: long non-coding RNA, 2644 nt
Organism: Oncorhynchus keta (chum salmon)
Lineage: Eukaryota; Metazoa; Chordata; Actinopteri; Salmoniformes; Salmonidae
Exons: 3
Source: RefSeq, a predicted model, not a curated record
GCGGAGAAUACAGAGCGUGGUUGAUAUUCCACCAAAUGGAUAAGAGGCAGACAAAGUUUGGCACAUUUAUGCUUUCAGUGGUUGACGGACAUGAAUGACGCAGUUUUUAGGGUAGUAAGGUAACACAAAUGAAUAACUCAGUAUUAAUUAUCCACUGUGCGAAAUCUCCACAAAGGCACAAGUCUGCAUGACGAUUUUUGCGUAAAGCAAGGAAGCGCGGGAGAGCGGACUUGUAGCCUGGCAGGCGCCAGCAGCGACGCCAUCCCUCUACCUACCAAAUCGAGAAGCAUUCCUAACCCUCAGUGCUUGUGUGACGGGUGGUGGGGGCGAAGAAGAUGGAUGAGGAUUUCCUGAGCAGUACUCUGACUGCCUCUGAAUCAGACCUGUCCUCGUCCUCUUUCUUGACAUUAGAGGCGAAGGCAGCCUUCAUCUUUGUCCUCAUUCUCUUCCUCGUCCUGGGUCUCCUGAUUGUGCGCUGCUUCCGUAUCUUACUCGACCCUUACCGCAGCAUGCCCUCCUCUACCUGGACUGACUACAUGGAGAAGGACACCUUUGAUUACCGUAUUGCCUGAGGGGUCCUUCCUUAUCAAAGGCUUCUGCAUUGCCUGAGCGGCUGGUGACCAGAGCGGUUGCAUCCAAGAGAACUAACUAAGAGAACUUCAACGUGUCAGCACAAUGAAAAACCUUUGCUUGAGGAGCUCUACUAUGAGGCAGGGACAACGGCAGUGGGAGGUUAUUGACCUCUGCCACAAGGGGAUCACAGUGUUUCCUGAGCCUUUAAACAUUUCAGAUAUACUGCAAUGCCAGAGGGGUCCUUCACUGGGGCUACAAGGGUAGCUGGUGUAUUGCCCGAGGGACAGUCUACAGUAGCUGAAAAAGAAAAUCUGUUUUCCUCUUGGAACAGGGGGAGCCUCCUGAAGCAAGCGAUAUAACUAAUCCAGUGACUGAGCACAGCUUAAUCACAGAGAAGUCCGUCUUUUUGUACACAGGCCUUUCAGAUUUGUCUUCUAAAAUGGCCUAGGUUGACUGUACUUAGUCAGUCAGUCAGUCACACACACACACACAAUCAUACUACACCGGCUCCGACGCUCGUCUUAUGUGGCAGGUCUUGCAAACUAUCAGACUACAAAGGGAAGCACAGCCGCGAGCUGCCCAGUGACACGAGCCUACCAGAUGAGCUAUGCUCACUUCGAGGCAAGCAACACUGAGGAAUGCAUGAGAGCACCAGCUGUUCCAGACGACUGUGUGAUCACGCUCUCCGUAGCCGACGUGAGUAAGACCUUAAACAGGUCAACAUACACAAGGCUGCGGGUCCAGACGGAUUACCAGGACGUGUGCUCUGGGCAUGUGCUGACCAACUGGCAGGUGUCUUCACUGACAUUUUCAACAUGUCCCUGAUUGAGUCUGUAAUACCGAUAUGUGUCAAGCAGACCACCAUAGUCACUGUGCCCAAGAACACAAAGGCAACCUGCCUAAAUGACUACAGACCUGUAACAUUCACGUUCAUAGGCAUGAAGUGCUUUGAAAGGCUGGUAAUGACUUACAUCAACACCAUUAUCCCAGAAACCCUAGACAUACCCCAAUUUGCAUACCGCCCAAACAGAUCCACAGAUGAUGCAAUCUCUAUUGCACUCAACACUGCCCUUUCCCACCUGGACAAAAGGAACACUUAUGUGAGAAUGCUAUUCAUUGACAAUAGCUCAGCAUUCAACACCAUUGUACCCUCAAAGCUCAUCACUAAGCUAAGGAUCCUGGGACUAAACACCUCCCUCUGCAACUGGAUCCUGAAAUUCCUGACGGGCCUCCCCAAGGUGGUGAGGGUAGGUAGCAACACAUCUGCCACGCUGAUCCUCAACACUGGAGCCCCCCAGGGGUGAGUGCUCAGUACCCUCCUGUACUCACCCACGACUGCAAGGCUAGGCACAACUCCAUCAUUACGUUUGCAGACGACACAACAGUGGUAGGCCUGAUCACCGACAAUGACGAGAGCCUAUAGGGAGGAGGUCAGAGACCUGGCCGGGUGGUGCCAGAAUAACAACCUAUCCCUCAACGUAACCAAGACUAAGGAGAUGAUUGUGGACUACAGGAAAAGGAGGACCGAGUAUCCCCACAUUCUCAUCGACGGGGCUGUAGUGGAGCAGGUUGAGAGCUUCAAGUUCCUUGGUGUCCACAUCACCAACAAGCUAGAAUGGUCCAAACACACCAAGACAGUCGUGAAGAGGCACGACAUAGCCUAUUCCCCCUCAGGAAAAUAAAAAGAUUUGGCAUGGGUCCUGAGAUCCUCAAAAGGUUCUACAGCUGCAACAUCGAGCAUCCUUCCUGUUUGUAUCACUGCCUGGUAUGGCACUUGCUCGGCCUCCGACCGCAGGGCAAUACAGAGGGUAGUGCGUACGGCCCAGUACAUCACUGGGGCUAAGCUGCCUGCCAUCCAGGACCUCUACACCAGGCAGUGUCAGAGGAAGGACCUAAAAUAGUCAUAGACUAUUCUCUCUACUACCGCAUGGCAAGCGGUACCGGAGUGCCAAAUCUAGGACGAAAAGGCUUCUCAACAGUUUUUACCCCCAGGCCAUAAGACUACUGAACAGCUCCCCUGGGAUGUCACUGAUCACCAUAAUAAUGAUGGAAGCCCCCAGCAACAAACCAG